This 562-nucleotide long non-coding RNA is filed under the name Homo sapiens (human). Its description in RNAcentral is "HSALNT0066263". Lineage: Eukaryota; Metazoa; Chordata; Mammalia; Primates; Hominidae. The record is from RNAcentral.
CAGAGAGCUAGAGAAGUCCCAGCUCAUGUACUGGUCAUGCAAGUUAGUUGUUGAGACUGGGUCACUAGGGAAAAACCGGCAGGAUUUUCUAAUUCAGCGUAGUAUCCACGACCAGGGAGCCAGAGGUGAAGGCUCAACCAAGUCCAGGGAAAACUCAGGGGCUAAAAGUACUUGAUAUCUCAUACAUUUCCACACCAGAGAUCUGAAGCAGGCCAUAUGCAGGGUUUCAGUUGCCAAAACUGGAGAAUUAGGGGAGUAGGUAGAGCAUUACGCGAAGAGGAGCCUAGGAGGCUGGGAACUCUGCCACAAGAUUGAUUCUACCAUCGAUUGUAAGCUUGAGCAGCUAAAGACAUAGGGUCACACGGGCAUUAUCAGUCUCAGAUUCACGAAUGCCAAAAUUUGAAGUGUUUUAAAAGCUAUAUAAUAGAGUUGUUUUAAACCAGGUUACGAGAUUAUGGCUUCACAGAGUUUACCCAGAGAAGUGAGGGUAGCAGAAAGAGGGCUGAGUAAGGCAGGCUCUGGCACUUCCUCCGAUUCAACUAAGUAGGUGACACAACAGCGG